CGCCCGGGAGCCGGCUGCUGGCCGGGACUAGGCUGCCUGCGUCCUCGCCACUCGGGCGCCGCGCCCCGCGCCGCUCCGGCCCCUCCCGCCUCCCCGCAGCUCCCUCCCCGCAGCAACCCGCGGCGCGUGCGCAGGAGUGCGGCGCGGGGCAUCCUCGGGCGCACGGACCCGGAGUUUGUUCGGCCUAUGCGACGGGCGCUGUUCCGUCCGCCCGGCUCCCCAAAAGCCCGAAGCACCCGGCGCCCUCAUCGCGCUCGGCUCGGCCCGCCCCGGCGGGGCACCGCACGCUUCCCCUCCUGGAAUUCCCGUCCUAGGGCUUCCCGGGAGACCGCUGCGGCGGUGACGUCAGCAGGCCUCGCGGGCACGGUCCUCCCGCUACGUCACCGUCCAUGCCCUAGCCAGGCGAGGCUCCAGAGGCUGGCCUUGGCAGUGACCCAAUCUGUAGAAGAAGCUGGUGCCAUUAGCCAAGGAGCUAGCCCUGGGUGCAGAGCUGCUGGAGACACUGCAGGCCUGGCUGCUGCUCCUCAACACUGAGGCAAGCUGACGGAGUAGGAGGCAUUUGCACAAGUCGCAGUGGCACCUAGGAUGUGGCACAGACCUCCAACAGCAGUCUUUUCAGAGGGAUUGUUGUAGUUUACCCACGGAAUCUAUGAACACCACGUACCAAGACGAGUCCCAAAGUCUCCUGCAUCGCUUUCUUCUCCAGCUGUGAAGCCAGUGGGAUCAGUCACUCCAGAUAACAUGGUCUGCUACCUCGCAAUAACAUCAUGGACUGAAGACUGAGCUUUCAACACUUGGACCAUUAGGAGAUACUCAUCCAAACCAUAGCUGGUACCAUGACUCAAAGAAAGUGUACCAGAAAGCAGGACACAGAGGUCAAGGAAGCCUUCCUUGAAAAGGUGAUAUGCUAUUAGAGACCUCACGGAAAUGAGGAAAUGAGUUAAACAGGGACUGAGGGUUGGAAAGAGAACUUUCUUGAAUGAGAACCAGUACAGAUGUCUAAUGCACAAGUAACUCUAAUGCAGGGAGAGGCUAGUGGUCCAGAACCAGAGAAGGGAGACAUAUCAGACUACUGAAGGUACAGAUGUCUAGUGCAUAAGUAACUCUAACGUAGGGAGGGGCUAGUGGUCCAGAACCAGAGAAGGGAGACAAGAUCAGACUACUGAAGGCCCUCCUGAGCCUGUUGAAGGAUUUGGAUUUUAUUCUUAACUAUGAUGGAAAGCCACUGGGAUGUUACUGCUUAGUGUUUCAGCAAAGUGGCAUUCAUAUCUGACUUAGAUAUAUGUUUUAAAAAUCUCUCUGGUUGUAGCUACAUAGAUGGUGGUUUCUAAAUGGAAACUUGAAGUAAGGAAACUGUUCUAAUAGCUUUAACUAGACUGAAAGACAGAUAACGGUACCUUCAAGUUUUCCAGGCUGCAUUAUGCAAAGUUACAUAGCACACAUGCACAGAUAAAGAUCUAACCCUCCAAAAGCCAUCCUCCUUUCAAGUUCAAAUCAAAACAGUCACAGAGUUCUUCAAUGUCUCCUGACAUUUUUCAAGUUAGAAACUUGUAAGAGUUUCUGAAUAACCAGUUUACAUCCAUUCCAACAUCUUAUUCUUAGCUCAAUAAAUUAAAACCACUCAAGUUGGUGGAUAAAAAUAAAACACCUCCUUAAAAACCUCAAAAUAAUUUUAUUUCUCAGAAACAACUUAGAUAUUAAAAGUUUAUAAGACAUGGUGAAAUGAAUUAUAUGUUAGCAGGAACAAAUACCUUUUUUUAACUGACAAAACAUACAUUAAAUCUUAGUCACAAGGACAAUGAUUUUGUUAAAUGCAACUAAAACAAAUCUUACAAAAUAUAGGAGUCAACAUAACCCAAGAAUUACUAAUAUUCAGAAUUCUUAGACUAAAAUUAAUAUGCAACAUUCAGCUAACUUUAAGGUAAAUUUUUCACUUGGGAAUAAGUGAGAAUUAGUAGUAAUUCUGGUUAUUGAUUUUAGAAAAUGGAAGGAUGAAAUGUUCAGGGUCACAGCUUUUUGACAGGCAGGUAUGGUACUACAUGUUUUUAGUGCCAACACUGGGAAGACUGUGGCAGGAGGAUCAUGAGUUCGAGGCCAGCCAGGAGCUACAUAGCAAGACACUGUCUCUUGUCUUAAAAACAGAGACUUUAACACAUCUUCCAAAGACAAAUAGUUCAGUUAAGAAAUAGGCAAAGGAAUGGGCUUGGUACGGCAUAGCUGUGAUCCUAGCACUUAGGAAGUUGAGGCAGGAGGAUUGUGAAAGUGAGGCCAGCCUGGGGCAUAGAGCAAGGUCUCGAAAGAAACACGCAAGCUGAGGAACAGUUACAGCAGGAAAGGCGAAGGACUGAGCAGACAUUUUGAGGAGGUAUUACUAAGCACAUAAGAAGAGUCUGAAUGUCACUUGCCGUUGGGGUGAUGCAAAUGACAACCACAGAGAGGUGUCACUUCCUCAUUAGGGUGGUUAUCAGAUAUAUUAAUGUCUCUCUAUCUACACAACAGGAAAUAACAGAUGUUGAUAAGGAUGUGAAGAUAAUGGAAACUCUGGACACUGCUGGUAGACAUGUAAAAUGGUUUUUGUAGAAUGGAUAACAGUUUGACAGUUUUUCAAAAUAUUAUACAUCGCAUUACCAUAUGAUGAAGUAAUUUCACUUUCUAACCCCUAAAGAUACAGUAGCAGACAUUGAAACAGAUUCCUGUGUGCCGUUGUUCACAAUGCUCAGGAAGUGGAUACAGUCCAAACCUGUAUUAGCAGGUGAAUGAAUAAUCAAAUGUUGCAUCUACAAACAACAGAGUAUUAUUCAGCCUUAGAAAGAAAUUCUGAUGUGUUCUAUACAAUAGAUGACCAAUAGUGACAUUUUGCUAAGUGAAACAAACCACAAAUGGAAGGAAAAUACUUUAUGAUUCCAGUUGUAUGAUAUAACUAAAAUAGUUUAAUCCAUAGAAACCAAAAGUAUGAUGGAGAUUACCAGGGUUGGGGAAAGAGAAUAUGUCUAGUUCGUUUUCUGCUGCUAUAACAAAAUAAUGAAGUCUGGGAAAUUUAUAAAGAUAAGAAGUUUAUCUAACUCACACUUCUGGAAGUCUAAGGAUACCGUGCCAAAAUAUGUUCACCUUCUGAUGGGAACUUCAUGCUGUAUCACAACAAGACAAAGAUGUGGAAGUAAGUUUGUGCAAAGAAGAGCUAUAUACCAGAGAGAGGAAUCGAGGGAUGAGAGGUGACCUUGCUGUAUGUCAUCCUGCUCUUGAGAGAGCCAAUCCAGUCCCAUCAGAGCAAGAACUUCUCAUGAGAAAAGCAUCAAUCAUUCAUAAAAGACAUAACCACCUCUUAGAGGUGCUGCCACCUCUCAGUACAGUUGCUUAAAAAUUAUAUUUCAGCAUGAGUUUUUCUGAGAAUGACCACAUCUAAGCCAGGGCAGGGAUGAAUGGGGAGUUAGUGUUUACUGGGUUCAGAGUUUCAGUUUGGGACAAUAAAAGACACCUAGAAACAAAUAGUUAUCUAGCACUGUAAUUGUACUGAAUAGCACUAAAUUUAUAUAAUUAUGGUUCAUUGAAAUGGUCACUUUUUUUUUUUUUUUUUCGUUUUUUGAGACAGGGUUUCUCUGUGUAGCUUUGCGCCUUUCCUGGGACUCGCUUGGUAGCCCAGGCUGGCCUCGAACUCACAGAGAUCCACCUGGCUCUGCCUCCCGAGUGCUGGGAUUAAAGGCAUGUGCCACCACCGCCCGGCCGAAAUGGUCACUUUUAUUUAGCCCCCCUAUUGCAUGAAUCCUAAUUGGUCUUAAUAAAAAAAAACCCAGAGCCAGAUGUCAGGGUAAAUGCUGAGAGAUCAGAAAGACAAAGGAACAAACCACAGCCGCCCCUCACCUCACCAGCUCCUCAGCUGAAAGGAGUGAGCUCCUUUCUUCUCUCACCUUAAAUUCCUUUCUCCACCCAGCCAUAUCAUUUCCUGUCUCAACCUCCCUAGUGCUGGGAUUAAAGGCGUGUGUGCCUCCCAAGUACUGGGAGCAAAGGCAUGAGAUCCAAGUGCUGGGAUUAAAGGCGUGUGCCACCACUGCCUGGCCUCUAUGGCUAACUAGUGGCUGGCUCUGCCCUCUGAUCUUCAGGCAAGCUUUAUUUGUUAGAGCUUACACAAAAUAUCAACACACACACACACACACACACACACACACACACACACACACACACACACACGCCCCAACAAAAAUCCUCCCACUUAGAGGAUGUGCUAUGACAGUUCGUGUCUUUAGCCAUUCCCUCUGGAGCCUGGAAUAAUACCCGAUGGAGGCAGGUGACCAUGUUUGCAUGCUCACUGUGAUUACAUUCUCAGAACAUGACAAUAGCUCCCCCUUCACUACAGUGGCUAGAGUCUGUGAUGUGGCUCACCAGAGCUUCUGUUAUAUCCUUUUUCUUUAUUUUCCCAGACAACUGUGAAAACCUUUUCUAAAAUACCUGUGACACUUCCUCUUUCAUUUCAAGUAUUCUGAAUUGACCAAAAAUAUUGAAGUUGUUUGAUAUGUUGAACUCUGUAAAAGUGUGAUUUCCCCAAUACUUUAUCUGUUGAUUAUUCGACUUCAGACUGGGCUAGGACGGGUGACAUGGAUUUUUUGUUUGCAGUACCACACAUGUUGUUGGAAACAAUAUACGUUCGAAUCUCAGCUCUUGUGUGUAUUUCCUUGGUUUGAACAAUUUAUCCAAUCCAAGCAGGCAAAGAGAUAUAACUGACAGUUACCUGCUGACAUGUGAUAAGCCAUGUGGUUUCAACUCGGUCGAACCACUGAAACUAUAGUUCAUAAGGGAAUGGGCAGAGAGAAAUGAGCUGUGAAACAAACAGAAAACUAACAAAACUUGAAAGAAAUGCUUCAUAACUAGAUCUGGGUGGGUUCAUUUUUGGAUUUUAAUUUUAAUUAUCACCAUGUCUGUGUGUGUGUCUGUGUGUGUGUGUGUGUGUGUGUGUGU
Peromyscus californicus insignis is the source of this 4950-nucleotide RNA transcript. It is a transcript of the gene named DnaJ heat shock protein family (Hsp40) member C5 beta, with no coding region annotated. The record is from RefSeq and is a predicted model, not a curated record. The transcript is spliced from 4 exons. NCBI's taxonomy places the organism in Eukaryota, Metazoa, Chordata, Mammalia, Rodentia, Cricetidae.